AUAUAUAUAUAUAUAUAUAUAUAUAUAUAUAUAUAUAUAUAUAUAUAUAUGAAAAUACAAUUUCAGACAUUUAUUUAACCAUAAAAAUCGCAUGAGUUACCUUCUACCAUUUAUCUUAUAUGUUAAAAAUCCUCUGUAAUUUUAGCUUGAUGUUUUUCAAACCAAUAGCUGGAAGUUACUGCUAAUUUUGUUGCUGGGUUUUUAGGUUUGGGUUUUGUUGUUGAGUGUUUUAUGUCUCAGAUGGGAUACAAAGAUGUGUUGUGACAUCUUACUUUGUUCUGAUGUAAUCUCAUUUGAAAUUUGACAUUAAAAAAAGAAGGAAGAAAUAACAAGACAACGAACCUAUUUCCUGCAAACUCUGUUUCCUGUUUAAAUUUUUUCUUAUAAUGGUGAUGUUAAGACCAGACGCUGUAGUCAUGGCUCUCCUCCUGUGCUUUUCAUUUCACAAUGUCAGGAAACAGAAUCAAUUGAGCACAUACUGACACUGCUUAUCCCUGUGAGCAAAUUAUCACUGAGCUGCAGAUUAUGACCUCUGACCUCACUGUGAGGCCUACAUGGAGUGGGAAUAAAGCUAUAUUACAGCUUCUGAUUACAAUACAUACUAUGUCAGCUUUUACUCCCCAGCUUUAGUUUGUUGUGAUGCUGCUGGAGCCAUUGUGAUUGUUUAAAAUGUUAUAUUUUAUUAAUUAUUUUUCAUUAACUUUUUUUUUUUUUUUUUUUUUUUU
Long non-coding RNA from Oreochromis aureus, 725 nucleotides. RefSeq lists it as uncharacterized. The transcript is spliced from 2 exons. Lineage: Eukaryota; Metazoa; Chordata; Actinopteri; Cichliformes; Cichlidae. The record is from RefSeq and is a predicted model, not a curated record.